UACGCGAUCCCACGCGGUUUUAUCUUGC
This 28-nucleotide small RNA is filed under the name Bombyx mori (domestic silkworm). RNAcentral describes it as "ovarian small RNA-831". The record is from RNAcentral. Lineage: Eukaryota; Metazoa; Arthropoda; Insecta; Lepidoptera; Bombycidae.